AGCUUCACACAGUGGCAGUGUCAUACACAAUGAGGUUUAUCUGAGGUGUGUGUCAUUAUUGCUUGAAAAUUUUUCCCAAUACUCUGUCAUGAUGAUUUGAAAUAUAGUCAACACUAGCAAUAUUUGACAGUCUCUAUGGAGA
This is a small nuclear RNA of Cebus imitator (Panamanian white-faced capuchin), 142 nucleotides long. Its record names the gene U4. It matches the Rfam family "U4 spliceosomal RNA". Rfam says of the family: U4 small nuclear RNA (U4 snRNA) is a component of the major U2-dependent spliceosome. The structure of U4 snRNA from yeast and human has been reported. U4 snRNA presents a k-turn RNA motif in the 5p-SL related to recognition of Snu13 protein. NCBI's taxonomy places the organism in Eukaryota, Metazoa, Chordata, Mammalia, Primates, Cebidae. The record is from Ensembl.